Molecule: long non-coding RNA, 1312 nt
Filed under: Trifolium pratense (red clover)
Lineage: Eukaryota; Viridiplantae; Streptophyta; Magnoliopsida; Fabales; Fabaceae
Description: long non-coding RNA (TPRA_LNC012042)
Source: RNAcentral
AUUAAAACUUGGCCACUGUCAUGGAACCAGUACACGUGGAACUGUGUCGGCAAAGCUUAAAAACAACUAAUCCUCUUUUAGUGAUAAAGUUUGCUGCCUUGCUGUCUAUUAUGCAGAUUUGUUGGAUGUCCAUGUGGCUGCCUUAUUGCUUUUGGCAUGAUAAGCUAUUGUCCAUAUUAUAUCAUUAUUAUACAAAUAAAAAAGGUAUUGUAGCAACAAAUUAAUAUCUAAGUAACUUUGAGUACAAGGCUUUUUAUUCCAAUUUGACAAAUUUAUUCAAUUAGAAUGAGCAUGUGGCGAAAUGAUAGUAAAACUAAUUUUUCACCACCUGAUUCACAGCAAGUACCAGAAACAAUCUUUUCAAACAACAUCUCUACAUAAGCUGGAAAAGGUGCUUCUAGCACAGAAUAAGAAUGGCGUUGGAACUUAGAAUUCAGAACAGAAUGCGGCUAAUAAUAAACCAUUGUUCCUCUUUGAUUUUUGUAAGUAUGGAUCCUCUACUGCAUCAAGCACUCUGCGGCAAAGCAAUUGUGAGAAAUAAACUCUGACAGAUAAUCGCUGCUCGUCCUAGUUGCUCCAGAAAUAAUCUCCUUUCCUGAAUCCUGUAAUAAAACCAGAAGUGAUAAGGAAGUAAAAAACAAUCACAUAGCAAAGUGCAGCUAAACAAGAGCUUGUAAAAAUUAAAUAACUUGGUCUCGGGGAGGAAAAAAACUCACAAUAAUUGUUGUGUUUGGAAGAAUGGGAACCUCAGGGCUGAAAAAAAAAUCACUUGCAUAAAGGACCGAAACAAGCAUAGAUUUCCAAGGAAAACAAUAUCCUCAUCCAUUUGCUCAACAGUACACCAAAUCUAUGAGGUUGAAGUUAAACAAUUUAUCAGUUAUGUAUGGUGAUGUGAACAUUACUUCCCAAGAGGCCAUUGUCUUCAAUCUGACAAAAAGGAUGUGCAUUGGACCAUGUAUGUAUUUAAAGGACUAAUGUUAAAAAAAAACUAUCAAAGAGGAAAUUUAUACCUGAGACUGCUUCCAUCUUGGUUCCUGUCACACCCUUGAGGCCCCUGGUUCUUCAUCUGCAAACAGGCUAAAGAAUAUUGAAAUCAAUAAAAGACAUCAAUUUGAUGUGGUGUAUUGUAGAUGUGAAUAUUGAAAUUAAUAAUAUUUAUUGAUGACAUAAUAACAAAGAAAGAAGUAUUUCAGUGACGCACCUGGACACAAAACUCAUGUGAUGUAAGGAAACAAGAGAAGCAUGUAGGAGCGGCACAUCCCUUUUCACUAUGGCCUUAACUAUAUCACCACUAACACUGUGAUCAAUCACC